Molecule: non-coding RNA, 454 nt
Organism: Microcebus murinus (gray mouse lemur)
Lineage: Eukaryota; Metazoa; Chordata; Mammalia; Primates; Cheirogaleidae
Source: RefSeq, a predicted model, not a curated record
AGGCCUGGCCACCCCACUAGGCCUCCCACCCUCUCCCAGGGCCUCUUCUCCUACCUGCCUGAUUUCUCCCGUCUCCAGUGGAGCAAAGGGAGGGACUAUCCUUGGGUCUCCCUCACCCCCCAGGAGGCUGCUGCCCCAGGCCUCACCUUCUCGGAGGCCUCAGACUCUGCCCACAGCCAGCCAGAGCUAGAGGGGCAGAGAUCCCUAAGUCUCCUAAGUGCCAUGAGGACGGGGACUGCACAAUGUCAUUGAGGCUGCGGUUUGCUGAAUAACGCGAGUCAAGCCUUUGUGCUCCGGGACCCAGCCCCGCUCCUUAGAAGGAACCCCACCCUGAACACAGGGGAGGGUAGAGGGGCCUAAAGAAUAAAACAAUCUUCAGCCCACCAGGCCCUGCUCUUCACGUACCUGCAUGACCUCCAGCUUCUUCUUGGUGGUUUCAAUGAACUGGGCAAUG